RNAcentral lists this ribosomal RNA (1646 nucleotides) under Escherichia coli. RNAcentral's name for it is "partial 23S ribosomal RNA". It matches the Rfam family "Bacterial large subunit ribosomal RNA", at positions 1291 to 2915 of the family's 2925-position model. Lineage: Bacteria; Pseudomonadati; Pseudomonadota; Gammaproteobacteria; Enterobacterales; Enterobacteriaceae. The record is from RNAcentral.
CGAAUGCUGACAUAAGUAACGAUAAAGCGGGUGAAAAGCCCGCUCGCCGGAAGACCAAGGGUUCCUGUCCAACGUUAAUCGGGGCAGGGUGAGUCGACCCCUAAGGCGAGGCCGAAAGGCGUAGUCGAUGGGAAACAGGUUAAUAUUCCUGUACUUGGUGUUACUGCGAAGGGGGGACGGAGAAGGCUAUGUUGGCCGGGCGACGGUUGUCCCGGUUUAAGCGUGUAGGCUGGUUUUCCAGGCAAAUCCGGAAAAUCAAGGCUGAGGCGUGAUGACGAGGCACUACGGUGCUGAAGCAACAAAUGCCCUGCUUCCAGGAAAAGCCUCUAAGCAUCAGGUAACAUCAAAUCGUACCCCAAACCGACACAGGUGGUCAGGUAGAGAAUACCAAGGCGCUUGAGAGAACUCGGGUGAAGGAACUAGGCAAAAUGGUGCCGUAACUUCGGGAGAAGGCACGCUGAUAUGUAGGUGAAGCGACUUGCUCGUGGAGCUGAAAUCAGUCGAAGAUACCAGCUGGCUGCAACUGUUUAUUAAAAACACAGCACUGUGCAAACACGAAAGUGGACGUAUACGGUGUGACGCCUGCCCGGUGCCGGAAGGUUAAUUGAUGGGGUUAGCGGUAACGCGAAGCUCUUGAUCGAAGCCCCGGUAAACGGCGGCCGUAACUAUAACGGUCCUAAGGUAGCGAAAUUCCUUGUCGGGUAAGUUCCGACCUGCACGAAUGGCGUAAUGAUGGCCAGGCUGUCUCCACCCGAGACUCAGUGAAAUUGAACUCGCUGUGAAGAUGCAGUGUACCCGCGGCAAGACGGAAAGACCCCGUGAACCUUUACUAUAGCUUGACACUGAACAUUGAGCCUUGAUGUGUAGGAUAGGUGGGAGGCUUUGAAGUGUGGACGCCAGUCUGCAUGGAGCCGACCUUGAAAUACCACCCUUUAAUGUUUGAUGUUCUAACGUUGACCCGUAAUCCGGGUUGCGGACAGUGUCUGGUGGGUAGUUUGACUGGGGCGGUCUCCUCCUAAAGAGUAACGGAGGAGCACGAAGGUUGGCUAAUCCUGGUCGGACAUCAGGAGGUUAGUGCAAUGGCAUAAGCCAGCUUGACUGCGAGCGUGACGGCGCGAGCAGGUGCGAAAGCAGGUCAUAGUGAUCCGGUGGUUCUGAAUGGAAGGGCCAUCGCUCAACGGAUAAAAGGUACUCCGGGGAUAACAGGCUGAUACCGCCCAAGAGUUCAUAUCGACGGCGGUGUUUGGCACCUCGAUGUCGGCUCAUCACAUCCUGGGGCUGAAGUAGGUCCCAAGGGUAUGGCUGUUCGCCAUUUAAAGUGGUACGCGAGCUGGGUUUAGAACGUCGUGAGACAGUUCGGUCCCUAUCUGCCGUGGGCGCUGGAGAACUGAGGGGGGCUGCUCCUAGUACGAGAGGACCGGAGUGGACGCAUCACUGGUGUUCGGGUUGUCAUGCCAAUGGCACUGCCCGGUAGCUAAAUGCGGAAGAGAUAAGUGCUGAAAGCAUCUAAGCACGAAACUUGCCCCGAGAUGAGUUCUCCCUGACUCCUUGAGAGUCCUGAAGGAACGUUGAAGACGACGACGUUGAUAGGCCGGGUGUGUAAGCGCAGCGAUGCGUUGAGCUAACCGGUACUAAUGAACCGUGAG